Small nuclear RNA from Callithrix jacchus (white-tufted-ear marmoset), 158 nucleotides. Its record names the gene U1. It matches the Rfam family "U1 spliceosomal RNA". From Rfam's summary of the family: U1 is a small nuclear RNA (snRNA) component of the spliceosome (involved in pre-mRNA splicing). Its 5' end forms complementary base pairs with the 5' splice junction, thus defining the 5' donor site of an intron. There are significant differences in sequence and secondary structure between metazoan and yeast U1 snRNAs, the latter being much longer (568 nucleotides as compared to 164 nucleotides in human). The record is from Ensembl. Lineage: Eukaryota; Metazoa; Chordata; Mammalia; Primates; Cebidae.
AUACUUUAUGGCAGGAGGGAUACCAUGAUCCUGAAGGUGGUUUUCUCAGGGCAAGGCUCAUCCAUUGCACUCUGGAUUUGCUGACUCCUGUGAUUUCCCCUAAUGUGGGAAACUCAACUGCGUAGAUUGUGGUAGUGGGGAACUGUUCGCAUUCUAUU